Non-coding RNA from Salvia hispanica, 740 nucleotides. Lineage: Eukaryota; Viridiplantae; Streptophyta; Magnoliopsida; Lamiales; Lamiaceae. The record is from RefSeq and is a predicted model, not a curated record.
GUCGACCUUCUGUGCGGUCUAUAACGGCCAUGGCCCUGUGCCUUCUGGUCUUAAGGUUGAAACGAAAACAUUGACAACGCAGACUAAUUUUCAUUGCUACUGUAGGGGAACUACUACAGCACUCACCCUACUUAAACAGGGUGAAGAUCUUGUCAUUGCACAAAUUGGGAACUCGGGAGCUGUACUAGGGACGAGAGACGAGAAUAAUGCAUUGAUUCCAGUGCGCUUGACUAUGAUGGGUUACAAGCCUCACCGCCUUCCUGCAGCAAGGAUCCAAAAAUGCAGAUAGCCCGAGCCACAAAAUCGCAAGGACACUCCCUACCUCAUACCCACGCCUUUCAUCUCCCAUAGACCCAUCGCUGAUGAAGACGAGUUUGUAGUCUUAGCAACAGCCGGGGUUUGGGACGUGCUCUCGAACGAGGACGUGGUAACUCUCGUGGCCACUAGCCCUACACGCUCGGAUGCAGCUCAAGCAGUAGUGGGUGCAGCAAUUAGAGCAUGGAUGAAUAUGUAUCCAACUUCAGAGGUUGAUGACUGUGCAGUGGCCUGCCUCUUUCUCAACUCAACAACCAAUUCAACACCACACCCACUAGGCCAACUCACACAACACUAAUACUCCAUGUUUUGGUCAUCGUUUGAUUCAUAAGAUUUCUAACUACUAUAUGUUUUAUUACUGCAUAUUGUGGGAUGGGAUUCAAGCUUCUUCAUAACUAUUGUUGUUUCUUCGAUAAUUUUUCUUA